This 21-nucleotide unclassified non-coding RNA is filed under the name Mus musculus (house mouse). RNAcentral's name for it is "oocyte_clustered_small_RNA12981". The record is from RNAcentral. Lineage: Eukaryota; Metazoa; Chordata; Mammalia; Rodentia; Muridae.
UGUCAGCAUCAGUACCUCAGG